GCCACAGACACAGCCACCACACUAGCUUUGGACACCUCUACCUAGCUCCAUCUGCAACCAUAUGCAUCUCCACCCUCUCCAUUUGGAACCAGAAAACCAUGGCUUCUCCUGCAUGCUCACUACUCAUCCCUACACAGAAAGCUCUAGCUGCUGCUAGUUUCAUUCUAGUAAUGAUACAAAUAUCAAGAGAAAAAGUGAGAGUCAAAUAGAGGUGUGAGGUGAGGAAGAUGCUGCAGGUAGAAGAAGCUGAGAGAAAGAUAUGAUCAAGCAAGCAAGCAAGCAAGCAAAAGUUAUCUAGCUAAAGAGGGAGCCUUUUCAUUUUGAGGGGAAUGUUGUCUGGCUCGGGGCUACUUUUAAUUUCUCUCUCUUUUGAUAUCUUCUUUUCUCGAUCUCCUAGCUUGAUCUUUUGAUCUCUCAAAUCGAUCUUAAGAAAAAGAUCAGUCAAAGAGAUGAGAGUAGAUGUCUGUAGAUCUCGGACCAGGCUUCAUUCCCCCCAAACAGAAGGGCUCCCAUGCAUAUCGAUCAUGAGCUAGCUUAUUACCCCCUGCUUUUGCCUCUUCCAAAUCUGAUGAACUGGGUAAGUUAACUGAAUAUUGCUUAACUAAUCAGCUUUUUGUUUCAUCUGAUGGAUAGAUAGGAGGAGUAGAUCUUGGUGGCAUGAACUGCAUGAGAUGCAGAUUGGUGUAAUGAUGGGGGGAAAGACUGCAUGACUGUACAAUUGCACACUUAUCAGAGCUACUUGGGAUCUCUUCUCUUCUCUUCUCUCUCUGCAAUAAUUAGCCUUUGAUGAGAUGAAGGGUGAUGAGGAAAAGGCUGUCAUCAUUAAAGGCCUUUGUUCCAUGCAGAUCCUAUCCUUCAUGGUUGGAACUAGCUAGUCUGUAUUCAUCAGGUACAAAUACCUUGCUUAAUCUUUCUUCUUUCAUAUGUAUGUUCAUCUGAUCUUUACCUUUGCUUGGGUAUCACAACUCUUAGCUAGCUUGACUGAUCUAAAAAAUGCUUUUUUUUUUAUAGUUUUUGGUGAUCUAUUUUUCAUCUUCGUUUUUCUUCAUGUUCUACCUUGCCUGGUAGGAUAAUGAAACAUGAAGUACAUAUAUCAUGCUCUGUAGUACACUCCGGGAGAAAUAUAUGGAUAUUUACUUCCUGUU
This 1145-nucleotide small RNA is filed under the name Oryza sativa Japonica Group (Japanese rice). RNAcentral's name for it is "sRNA Os06g0714432". The stretch from base 320 to 498 matches the Rfam family "mir-166 microRNA precursor family". Lineage: Eukaryota; Viridiplantae; Streptophyta; Magnoliopsida; Poales; Poaceae. The record is from RNAcentral.